AACUGCCGCUGUGUUGGAACUGCCAGCUAGACUGCUCACCAAAAUGGGAGGCAGCCUCUGCUGCUGUGGUGAAGGUGAAGGCUUCUUCUACCGCCAGAAUUGGCGGUUUCUCUCGCUGGAUUCUUGGGACCUGAUCCAGGCAGCACACUCGACACACUCAGCGAUUCAGCUCUACAGUAUGCACUCUGGGAUCUCCCAUUUGCUAAGGAAGGAUCUUAGCUUUGAGAAAGGUGUCAAGCCUGUGGCAGCAGAGCUUCCUGGGGAGUCCUCAGAGCAAGUCAUUGCCAUUGUCGAAGUGAGAUCUUUCUUUGACUAAGAUGGGAAUUGUAUUUCUCUUGGUUUCUAUUUCAUUUGAAUUAAGAUAUGCAAACCUUACCAUGGACAUUAUAGAUAAGUUACAGAAUUUCUUGGUGGGAUAAUGUGAGAGUUCAUGAGCAACUAGGAGCUGGCUCCAGAUGGCACGCAUAGAUGCCACCUUCAGUUACAAACUGUAUGCAGAUAACAUUUUCCUCAGGAGAAAUGCUUACUGUUAGA
This is a long non-coding RNA of Homo sapiens (human), 534 nucleotides long. The record is from Ensembl. NCBI's taxonomy places the organism in Eukaryota, Metazoa, Chordata, Mammalia, Primates, Hominidae.